RNAcentral lists this ribosomal RNA (376 nucleotides) under Metaphire vesiculata. Its description in RNAcentral is "partial 16S ribosomal RNA". It matches the Rfam family "Bacterial large subunit ribosomal RNA", at positions 1926 to 2541 of the family's 2925-position model. Lineage: Eukaryota; Metazoa; Annelida; Clitellata; Crassiclitellata; Megascolecidae. The record is from RNAcentral.
AACGGCCGCGGUAUCCUAACCGUGCAAAGGUAGCAUAAUCAUUUGCCCAUUAAUUGUGGGCUAGUAUGAAAGGGUUAACGAAAUAAAGACUGUCUCUAUUAAUCACCUAAAAACUAUUCUCUACUUGAAGAAAAGUAGAUUCUCUCGAAGGACAAGAAGACCCUAUAGAGCUUAAUUUUACCUAUAGAUCUAACACUAUAAAAAUAUUCGGUUGGGGCGACCCAGGGCUAAUUAAUCACCCACAAAAAAAAAGAUAUAUAAAUCAAAUAAAUGACCCCCAUAGAUCAAAAGACCAAGCUACCUUAGGGAUAACAGGCUAAUCCCACUUAAGAGUCCUUAUCAACAGUGGGGUUUGGCACCUCGAUGUUGGCUUAGG